AUUGUAUCCGGUCUUCAUUUUAG
This 23-nucleotide microRNA is filed under the name Drosophila melanogaster (fruit fly). RNAcentral's name for it is "dme-miR-4909-3p". The record is from miRBase by way of RNAcentral. Lineage: Eukaryota; Metazoa; Arthropoda; Insecta; Diptera; Drosophilidae.